This 330-nucleotide ribosomal RNA is filed under the name uncultured bacterium. RNAcentral's name for it is "bacterial SSU rRNA". It matches the Rfam family "Bacterial small subunit ribosomal RNA", at positions 568 to 898 of the family's 1533-position model. The record is from RNAcentral.
CGCGUAGGUGGUUGCUUAAGUUAUAUGUGAAAGCCCCGGGCUUAACCUGGGAACUGCAUCUAAUACUGAGCAGCUUGAGUAGAAUAGAGGGGAGUGGAAUUUCCGGUGUAGCGGUGGAAUGCGUAGAUAUCGGAAGGAACACCAGUGGCGAAGGCGGCUCCCUGGAUUCAUACUGACACUGAGGCGCGAAAGCGUGGGGAGCAAACAGGAUUAGAUACCCUGGUAGUCCACGCCGUAAACGAUGAGAACUAGAUGUUAGGAGGGUUACCUCUUAGUAUCGCAGCUAACGCAUUAAGUUCUCCGCCUGGGGAGUACGGUCGCAAGAUUAAA